This 267-nucleotide long non-coding RNA is filed under the name Gossypium barbadense (sea-island cotton). RNAcentral's name for it is "long non-coding RNA (GBAR_LNC005678)". Lineage: Eukaryota; Viridiplantae; Streptophyta; Magnoliopsida; Malvales; Malvaceae. The record is from RNAcentral.
ACGGAGGAAGUACUGAAAGUGGCUUGUCCACGUAUUGGAGGCUUUGCCUCAAUUUACUGUUAACUGAGCAGCAAGGCUGCAACUGUGGAGUGUUGGGCUGGGUGGGUUGAGCUAUUCCCCAUAUGGAGUGUAGGGCUGGUACGGGUGGAGUGUAGUGGUUGGUGGGUUGAGUAGUCUCCCCAAAUGGGCUUGCAUAUGUUAUUGAUGUUGCAUGUAUUUUGAAAUGGGCCUAUGGGCCAUACUGUUAUCUGAAUAAGGGGCUAAGGC